RNAcentral lists this ribosomal RNA (499 nucleotides) under uncultured bacterium. Its description in RNAcentral is "partial 16S ribosomal RNA". It matches the Rfam family "Bacterial small subunit ribosomal RNA", at positions 28 to 507 of the family's 1533-position model. The record is from RNAcentral.
GACGAACGCUGGCGGCGUGCUUAACACAUGCAAGUCGAACGGGCCCGCCCCUGUUUUUGGGGGUGGGUUGAGUGGCGAACGGGUGAGUAUCACGUGAGUAACCUGCCCCCUGCUCCUGGAUAACUGCUUGAAAGGGCGGCUAAUACGGGGUGUGCCGGCUGGUCCGCAUGGGCCUGGUCGGGAUAGUUUCAUCUUCGGGUGUUUCGGUGGGGGAUGGGCUCGCGGCCUAUCAGCUUGUUGGUGGGGUGAUGGCCCACCAAGGCGGUGACGGGUAGCCGGCCUGAGAGGGUGGGCGGCCACACUGGGACUGAGACACGGCCCAGACUCCUGCGGGAGGCAGCAGUGGGGGGUAUUGCACAAUGGGCGGAAGCCUGAUGCAGCGACGUCGCGUGAGGGAUGGAGGCCUUCGGGUUGGGAACCUCCUUCUCCGGUGGUGAAGGCCCUGUCCGUUGCGGCGGGGUUGACGGUAGCCGGGUAUGAAGCGCCGGCUAACUACGUG